GAAUUCUUGAUAUCGUCUGGAUAUGUGAUUUGCAAAUAUUUUACCUCAGUCUGUGGCUUAUCUUGUCAUUUUAUCAAUGGUAUCUUUUGAAGUACAAAUGUUUUCAAUUUUGAUAAGGUCCAAUUUAUCAUUUUUGUUUGUUUGUUUUAUAGGAAAAAAAUCUAAGGCCUCUUUGUCUAACCCAACGUCAUGAAGAUGAUCUCCCAAGCUCAUUCUUAAAUUUAUCUUCUUAUCCCUCACCCCCCCACUUCCUAGGCCUGACAGUUCCACCUCCUCCGUUUUUUCUCUUUGCACUCAGCCACCUCCUUUUGUUCCCUUUCAGCAGUGAUUUUUAAAAAAAUCCCCAAAUCAGAUCACACUCCACAAGGGCAGCGAUGUUCCUCUGUUUUGUUCACCAAUGAGUCCCAAGUGCCUAGAACAAUGCCUGGUAUACAGUAGGUGCUCAGUAGAUGCACUUUGGGUUGAGUCAUAUUGUUCCUCGGGAGGCACUGCAUUGCACUUGGAGAAAAGGCCAGCCUCACUGUUCAGGCCUACAAGAUCCAACACAAUCCAACCGUACCCACCCUGCCCCCUUGCCCACUCCCCUCCUACCACCCCGAUCUUCCCUCUAAUCCUCAAAGGUGUCAAGCUCAUUCCCAUCUCAGGGCCUUUGCUUCAGCUGUUCCAUCUGCCUGUGAUUCACUUCCCUCUGCGUUCCCCAAGCCUGGCUCCUUUUGUCAGUAUGAACUCGGCCUAAACAUCACCUCCUCUGAGAAGCCUUCCCUGACCACCUCAUCUAAAACAGCUGUCCCACCUGCCCAUCACACUAGCACCACCCUAUUUUCAUUGUCCACAGAGCACUUAUCUCCAGAUAUUUUCCCAGUUUAUAUAUAUUUACUUAGUGGAUGGUUAUCCUCCAUCCUCCAUGGGCCCCAAGAUGGGAGCAGGGAGGAGAACAGAGCUCCCAGGCCCUCUUUAGGCAAGCCCUUCCUCCUUCAGGAGGCUUCCUUGGUUAUUCCAGCCGCUAAAGCUUUCCUGUCUCCUGUCUGUCUUCCUUCCUUUCCCACUGCAGUAAGCUGUAAAGUUGGUGCCCCACAAUGGACCAUGCUUCCUAGUAUUCAUAUCCUGGGGAGGUCUCAUUCCACAUUGUUGCUGAGCUCGGCCGUGUCACUUGUUCUGGCCAAUGAAAUAUUAGCAAAUACGAUGGAAGUAGAAGUUUGAUGCUCUCUUGCAUAUUGAGGAUUGUUCUCACUGGAACGUAGCUGCCAUGCUGUGAAGAAGCCCAAGUUAGCCCUGUGUAGAGGCCAAGUAGAGGAGAAUCAAAGUACAGUCAUCUCGGUAUCCACGGGGGAUUGGUUCCAAGACCCCCGCAAAUACCAAUAUCCAAGGAUGCUCAAAUACCUUAUAUAAAAUGGCAUAGUAUUUGCAUAUAAACUAGGCACACCCUCCUCUGUAUUUUUAAUCAUCUCCAGGUUGCAUAUAAUACCUAAGACAAUGUAAAUGCUGUGUAAAUCCUUGCUGGCACCAGGCAAAUUCACGUUUUGCUUUUUGGAAUAUUUUUCCCAAAUAUUUUCAAUCCUUGAUUGGUUAAAUCCAGGAAUGUGGAAUCUGUGGAUACAGAGGGCCACUGUACCUGAGAUGACAGCCCACGCUGGCAGCCAGCUGAGUUCCCAAGCUGACAGUUAACAUCAACUGCAGCCAUGUGUGUGAAGCCACCUUGGACGUUUCACCCCAGUUGAGCCCUCAGCUAAUUGCAGCUGUAUAAAUGAUCCCAGAGGACAAAAUAUGAAGCAGAAGAACUGUCCAGUCAAUCCAGAGGAUGGGACCGGCCCACACUCCCCAGAGGGUGACCCCUAACCUGAUCAACUCCUGCACUUAGUCAUCAGCAUUUAUGGGGCACCUGCUGCCCCCCGCAGGGACAGGCUGUGGGCAGAGGAGAAACCCCCAGGAGCGCAGGACGCUGUGGUGGAGCCCGGAGAGGCUGAGCGAGCUCCUUCAGCCACGUGGCGCCUGAGAUACUAUGUUUUUCUCAAAUUGAAGGUUUGUGGCAACCCUACGUCGAGCAAGUCUGUUACCGCCAUAUUUCCAACUGCAUUUGCUCACUUCCUGUCUCUGUGUCACGUUCUGGUAAUUCUUACAAUAUUUCGAAUCUUUUCAUUGUUAUUAUGUUUGUUAUGAUGAUGUACGAUCAGUGAUCUUUGAUGUUACCACGACAACUCACUGAAGGCCCAGAUAAUACUUAGUAUUU
This is a non-coding RNA of Delphinapterus leucas (beluga whale), 2227 nucleotides long. The record is from RefSeq and is a predicted model, not a curated record. Lineage: Eukaryota; Metazoa; Chordata; Mammalia; Artiodactyla; Monodontidae.